AGUAAAAGGCUAGCGACCUUGAUUUCAGGAAGAAGGGGAAGUGCUGUGAGGAAAGCUCAAGCAAGCCAGGAAGUAGGUCAUGGUGAGUGCAGGACCACUGCUACAACGGGAAGGAGCAGGCGGCUGAACAGCCUGAGCUGAAAUGCUGUCUCCACUCCCACCGCUCGGAGGAUAGACACAAAUGCUAAUGGAGAGCAAGUCAGACCAGAGAUCUGGAAAAGGAUUGAACCGUCUCUGUGUCUUGCUUUGAGCGCUGCUGUUGGGUGCUGUGAGUGGACCUCAAGUAAGCUCCGUUUUUGAAACAUGGAUGCAGUGACUUAUGAUGAUGUGCGUGUGAACUUCACUGGGGAAGAGUGGGAUUUGCUGGAUCCUUCCCAGAAAAGUCUCUAUGAAGAGGUGAUGCAGGAGACCUACCAGAACAUCACUGCUAUAGGCUACAAGUGGGAAGACCAUCAUAUUGAAGAACAUUGUCAAAGUUCUAGAAGACAUGAAAGGCAUGAAAAAAUUCAUAUUGGAGAGAAACCGUAUGAACGUAACCAAUGUGGUAAAGCCUUUGGAAGUGACAAUCAUCUCCAAGUACAUAAAAGAACAAAUACUGGAGAGAAACCUUAUGAAUGUAAUCAAUGUGGUAAAGCCUUUUCACAACAGAGUAGUCUCCAGUAUCAUAAAAGAACACAUGCUGGACAGAAACCUUAUGAAUGUAAUCAGUGCGGUAAAGCCUUGUCAUGUCAAAGAAGUCUCCAAUAUCAUAAAAGAACACAUACUGGAGAGAAAACUUGUGAAUGUAAUCAGUGUGGUAAAGCUUUUGUAAGACCCAGUCAACUCCAAAAACAUAAAGGAACACAUACUGGGGAGAAACCCUAUGAAUGUAAUCAGUGUGGUAAAGCCUUUGCACAUCACAAUAAUCUCCAAUAUCAUAAAAGAACACAUACUGGAGAGAAACCUUAUGAAUGCGAUCAAUGUGGAAAAGCCUUUGCAGUUCAGUAUAGUCUCCAAUAUCAUAAAAGAAGACAUACUGGAGAGAAACCUUAUGAAUGUAAUGAAUGUGGUGAAACCUUUGCAUUUCAGUAUAGUCUUCAAUACCAUAAAAGUACACAUACUGGAGAGAAACCUUAUGAAUGUAAUCAAUGUGGUAAAGCAUUUCCACAUCACAAUAAUCUCCAAAACCAUAAAAGAAUACAUAGUGGAGAGAAACCUUAUGAAUGUAAUCAAUGUGGUAAAGCUUUUGCAAGAACCGGUCAACUCCAAACCCAUAAAAGAACACAUACUGGAGAGAAACCUCAUGAGUGUGAUCAAUGUGGUAAAGCCUUUGCACUUCAGUAUAAUCUCCAAAAACAUAAAAGAAUACAUACUGGAGAGAAACCUUAUCAGUGUACUCAAUGUGAUAAAGCAUUUUCACAACACAGUAGUCUUCAAUAUCAUAAAAGAACACAUACUGGAGAGAAACCUUAUGAGUGUGAUCAAUGUCGUAAAGCCUUUGCAUGGCAAUAUAGUCUCUAUAUACAUAAAAGAA
RNAcentral lists this long non-coding RNA (1513 nucleotides) under Mus musculus (house mouse). RNAcentral describes it as "RIKEN cDNA E430024I08 gene". Lineage: Eukaryota; Metazoa; Chordata; Mammalia; Rodentia; Muridae. The record is from RNAcentral.